Molecule: ribosomal RNA, 253 nt
Filed under: uncultured bacterium
Lineage: Bacteria
Description: partial 16S ribosomal RNA
Rfam family: Bacterial small subunit ribosomal RNA
Source: RNAcentral
UACGUAGGGGGCGAGCGUUGUCCGGAAUUAUUGGGCGUAAAGGGUCCGUAGGCGGUCGUGCAAGUUUGGGGUGACAGUGCCCAGCUUAACUGGGUAAGUGCUUCGAAAACUGCGCGACUUGAGGGCUUCAGAGGGAUGCGGAACUCCGGGUGGAGUGGUGAAAUGCGUAGAUAUCCGGAAGAACACCAAAGGCGAAGGCAGCAUCCUGGGAAGUACCUGACGCUCAGGGACGAAAGCUAGGGGAGCGAACAGG